GGCUUCCUACGGGACGCAGCAGUGGGGAAUCUUCCGCAAUGGGCGCAAGCCUGACGGAGCAAUGCCGCGUGAACGAAGAAGGUCUUCGGAUUGUAAAGUUCUGUCCUUAUCGAAGAGAGGGUAUAGAGUGAAAAAUGAUAUACUAGGACGGUAGAUGAGGAGGAAGCCCCGGCUAACUACGUGCCAGCAGCCGCGGUAAUACGUAGGGGGCAAGCGUUAUCCGGAAUUAUUGGGCGUAAAGAGUACGUAGGCGGUUCUUUAAGC
This 264-nucleotide ribosomal RNA is filed under the name uncultured bacterium. RNAcentral's name for it is "partial 16S ribosomal RNA". It matches the Rfam family "Bacterial small subunit ribosomal RNA", at positions 333 to 588 of the family's 1533-position model. The record is from RNAcentral.